GUGAGGACGGAGGUUCAGUCCUCCCAGGCCCACCACUUCGCAAUCCGCAAGGAUUGUCGGAUCUCCUCGAUAUCCGUCGGGAAACACUAUCAGGGGCCGUAGCUCAGCUGGGAGAGCGCCUGCUUUGCAAGCAGGAUGUCGUCGGUUCGAUCCCGUCCGGCUCCACCAACCAUCUUCUGUGAAGGUGGGGCGUGUCGAGUAGAGGAUGAUCGCCCGCGGUCAGUCAUUCGAAAAAGAGUUUGCGGCGCGCUUCGUGCUCUCCGCCUGUUCUGUUUGACAUCGUAAAGAGAAGAUUUGUUCGAACUUCACGGCUGCAAGGCUGUGAUUUGUCGCAAGGACGCUCAAUCCCUUGCCUAUGAUGGGUUUGCCUAACCGCGCCCUCGAACGGAUCUCGAGAAGCUGGUCUUUUUGUGCCAAUUCCAUUGAAGCAAGCCCCGCACAGGGUUUUGCUCAGGCGGCGAUCCUUCGGAUCGCGCAGAUGGGUAUUGGCAAUGAGAACGAUCAAGUGUCUUAAGGGCAAUUGGUGGAUGCCUUGGCAUGCACAGGCGAUGAAGGACGUGAUACGCUGCGAUAAGCUACGGGGAGGUGCGAAUACCCUUUGAUCCGUAGAUCUCCGAAUGGGA
This 623-nucleotide unclassified non-coding RNA is filed under the name Mesorhizobium sp. LCM 3731. RNAcentral describes it as "partial 16S-23S ribosomal RNA intergenic spacer". The stretch from base 500 to 623 matches the Rfam family "Bacterial large subunit ribosomal RNA", at positions 1 to 123 of the family's 2925-position model. The record is from RNAcentral. Lineage: Bacteria; Pseudomonadati; Pseudomonadota; Alphaproteobacteria; Hyphomicrobiales; Phyllobacteriaceae.